This 1107-nucleotide long non-coding RNA is filed under the name Chloebia gouldiae (Gouldian finch). Its description in RNAcentral is "Erythrura gouldiae (Gouldian finch) lncRNA (ENSEGOG00005008749.1)". The record is from RNAcentral. Lineage: Eukaryota; Metazoa; Chordata; Aves; Passeriformes; Passeridae.
AUGGGACUGGAGCAGGAACGGGAAAAGGGACAGGACGGACUGAAAUGGGACGAGUGGGAAAGGGAUAGGACAUGGGACAGGACAGGAAUGGGACGGGACUGGAGCACGAACGGGACAAGGGACAGGACGGGAAUGAGAUGGGACAAGCGGGAAAGGGAUGGGACACAGGACGCGACUGGAGCGGGGAUGGACGCGGGACAGGGGACAGGACAAACAGGAACGGGAACGGAAUUAGACACGGAAUGGGACACGGGACAGGUUGGGACUGGAGCGGGGACAGGAACGGGAUGGGACAAGGAUGGACAGGGAUGGAUACGGGGCAGGACACGGGACAAGACCGGAGUGGGGAUGGGACAUGGGACAGAACAGGAUGGGACACGGGAUGGAACACGAAACAGGACUGGAGCGGGGAUGGACACGGGACAGGGCAGGACAAGCAGGAACAGGAACGGAAUUAGACACGGAAUGGGACACGGGACAGGUUGGGACUGGGGUGGGGAUGGACACGAAACGGGACUGGAGCAGGACAGGAACGGGAUGGGACAAGGAUGGACACGGGACAGGACAGGACUGGAGAGUGGAUGGAUACGGGACAGGACACGGGACAAGACCGGAGUGGGGAUGGGACAGGGGGCAGAACAGGAUGGGACACGGGAUGGAACACGAAACGGGACUGGAGCGGGGACAGGACCGGGAUGGGACACGGAACGGGACUGGAGCGGGGACAGGACCGGGAUGGGACACGGAACGGGACUGGAGCGGGGACAGGAACGGGAUGGGACACGGAACGGGACUGGAGCGGGGACAGGACCGGGAUGGGACACGGAACGGGACUGGAGCGGGGANNNNNNNNNNGCGGGGACAGGACCGGGAUGGGACACGGAACGGGACUGGAGCGGGGAUGGACACGGGAUGGGACACGGAACGGGACUGGAGCGGGGAUGCACACGGGACUGGAGCAGGACAGGAAGGGGAUGGGACACGGAACCCGACAAGAACCGGAACGGGACGCGGGACCGGACACGGAACCGGACACGGAACCGGGAGCGCGACACGACACGCGGCCGGGGGCGGAGCCGCCGCCUGACUGACAGGAGGAAGUCCCGC